Pogona vitticeps (central bearded dragon) is the source of this 2529-nucleotide long non-coding RNA. NCBI's taxonomy places the organism in Eukaryota, Metazoa, Chordata, Lepidosauria, Squamata, Agamidae. The record is from Ensembl.
GUGUUGCUUGUCAGGGAAGCUACCGUUUGCUGAACUCUGCUUUGCUUGUUUGCUGUGGGCCAUCAACUCAGAACUGACCUCUAGGGACCCUAACAGGGUUUUCGAGUUGGAGGGGUGGAGAGAAGAAAGAAGGUGAGGGAAACAGCAGGGUGAAGUUGGUACCUACCCCUCUACCUGGCACCUCACUGUCUGCUCCGGAUCUCACCCUGUUCCCCACAGCUUCUUGAUUUCCCAUGUGCGCAGUGGGCUGCAGAAGAAAAAGAGAGACAGAGAAGCUCCAUGCUGUGGACGUGAAGUUUGUUUUGUUGAUGUCGGGAAAGGAUCCCAAGAAUGUCAGUCCGGCUUCUUCUCCUGGGACUUUGUCCACAUAAUGUCCUCCCUGGGGGUUCUCUGUUGUUUUGUUGGUGGUGAUUUGAAUGCUUUUGAAUUGGCUGUCCCAGUAUUUGCCUCCAGAUAUGUGAAGGCAGUUGCAAUAGGAGGGGCUGCUACAUCCUGUCCGUUCAGGCUUUCUGUCGUAAAUGUGUACUGGGAAAAGUACUAGUAUCAUGGGAGAAAACAAAAGGGAAUGAAUGCUCAGUGUGGAUGAGCUUUCAGGAAAAAUAUGUAUGGAAUUAAGAGCUUUGGAAUUAACUUAGGAAAAAUAUGUACAGUGGGGUCUUGACUUAAGAACGGCUUGAGUUAAGAACAUUUUGACUUAAGAACCACUCUCAUAGGAAAAUAUUGACUUGACUUACAUACUUAGAUUUGAGUUAAGAACUGAAAAAAACCACGUGGGAGGCAGGGAAAGUGCAAAAUUUGAACUUUCAGUUAACUGUUGGCCAGUGAAAAAGGGUGCCUGUCUGCUUCCUCACUCCUCCCAGCGUUUAGAGAGUGGAUUGGGAGACAGUCUUCAGACUGCCUGGUACUGGACUGCCUGGACUGUAUUUUCCCUGCCUUCCCUGAACCUUUCUUGACCUAAGAAAAAAAGAAACAAAAUAUCCCCCUCUAGUGGUCGAAGGCAGAAUAGCAGCUUCCCAUUAGUUUCUAUGGACGGAAAAGAGCAGAUACGGAUCAAAUGGUUUUCAAUGCAUUCCUAUGGGAAAUGCAGAUUUGACCUGAGAACUUUUUGACUUGAGAACCGCCUUCCAAUACGGAUUAAGUUCUCAAGUCAAGACCCCACUGUAUGGAAUUAAGAGCUUUGGAAUUAACUUGUUACAAACAGCUAACUGUUCAUUAUUUCCUUUUGUUAAUAACAAAGGUAUGCAGGCUAGAUAUGAGUUAGGUAUAUGGCUCUGGAGCCAGAGGUUGGGAGAUUGAUGCCCCACUGUGCAUCCCAAGAGGAGAGCCAACCUCGGUAGCCUUGGGCAAGCAGGGAACAGUAAACCAUUUCUGAGUACUCCAUACCUUGAAAACCCUGGAAAAGGUUUCCUUGACUUAGGAUUGACUUGAUAGCAUGUAAUUGUGAUUAAUAUAGUAAAUUACUCCUGUAGCUAAAUGAGAAAGAACUUCAUUCCUUGGUGAACUGCAACAAAACCAACACAGAUUCUUGUAGCACCCUGAAGACUCACAGUUUAUUUGGCAGGAAGUUUUCUGAGCUGUAUCCUACAGCUUUGGAUGUGUGGAGUGUAGCCUCAGCAGGCAGACGUACAUACACAUUUGUGGAAACACAGGAAUGUGAACUCUUAAUAUAUUGCAUAAGGUCCAGCAUGGUGAUGGUUCUAAUGGUGCCGUUAAGUGCCAUUUAACAGUCCUUGGGAGGUGACUAAUACAGAUUUUAAUUGUGGUUAAAAGUCAUUCAAGGGGCUCACAUGGAUGAUAAGUAUAUCCCAGGAUAGAUAAGCAGAUUAAGAAAUAUUUUGUGGAGGAAAGUCAUUUUUUAAGGUUGCGAACAGACGGCGAGAAAUGGUCACCCUUGAUCAUACCAAAAAGGAUCACUUUGCUGGAAGCAAUCUCCCAUAAAGGGAAUCAAUACAGCCCACCCUUCCAAAAAGAGCAGCCCUUUCACUCAACCAAAAAAAGUCCACCUUGGGAAUGGAUUGAGGUUAGGCUGGAUUGCUAUUGUCCAUCUGUUGUGUGAUCGCCAAGAAACUGCUCACACCAGACUGUCACAAGCAGUCCAAAAUCCGAACUAUUUCUCUGUCUGACCACACCCUAAGCAUAAAAGAGGUUCACUCAGCCAUGUACACAGUCUGUGCAUGAUUCAAGGUGAAGGCAAGGAAUGCAAAAAUGACAGGUAGACAAAACAGUCCAAAUGUUCUCCUACAGCACAUGAUGGUUGGGUUGUAGCACAAACAUCCUUUCACAGAUGAGGUGAUUGACUUCUAUAGUGAGAUUAAAAGUCUUUGUCCCUCUCCCAAGGAAGAUGGAGCUGAACACACUGAUGUUUUCCUGUUCAGCUGUUUCCUUCUGGAAUUAUCUUGUGCUGGAACUCUGAUGUUUUAAGCUACAGAAGGAUCCUGUAUCUGUGAAAUUGAUAUCCAUGGUUUCAUUUGGCCGCGGUCUAUAAGUAUUAAAAAUAUUACAAUAAAAAACUAGAAAAACGUAUUUUCA